This 253-nucleotide ribosomal RNA is filed under the name uncultured bacterium. RNAcentral's name for it is "partial 16S ribosomal RNA". It matches the Rfam family "Archaeal small subunit ribosomal RNA", at positions 474 to 727 of the family's 1478-position model. The record is from RNAcentral.
UACCCGCAGCACAAGUGGUGGUCAUUAUUAUUGGGCCUAAAGCGUCCGUAGCUGGCGUGUUAGAUGCCUGGGUAAAUCGAUGCGCUUAACGCAUCGAACUCCGGGUAGACCGGCACGCUCGAGACCGGGAGAGGCAUGGGCUACUCGCGGGGUAGGGGUAAAAUCCUGUAAUCCUGCGGGGAGGACCAGUGGCGAAGGCGCCGUGCUAGAACGGCUCUGACAGUGAGGGACGAAGCCCUGGGGCGCAAACCGG